This 490-nucleotide ribosomal RNA is filed under the name uncultured bacterium. RNAcentral describes it as "partial 16S ribosomal RNA". It matches the Rfam family "Bacterial small subunit ribosomal RNA", at positions 30 to 507 of the family's 1533-position model. The record is from RNAcentral.
AUUGAACGCUGGCGGCAGGCCUAACACAUGCAAGUCGAACCGUAACAGGAAGAAGCUUGCUUCUUUGCUGACGAGUGGCGGACGGGUGAGUAAUGUCUGGGAAACUGCCUGAUGGAGGGGGAUAACUACUGGAAACGGUAGCUAAUACCGCAUAACGUCGCAAGACCAAAGAGGGGGACCUUCGGGCCUCUUGCCAUCGGAUGUGCCCAGAUGGGAUUAGCUAGUAGGUGGGGUAACGGCUCACCUAGGCGACGAUCCCUAGCUGGUCUGAGAGGAUGACCAGCCACACUGGAACUGAGACACGGUCCAGACUCCUACGGGAGGCAGCAGUGGGGAAUAUUGCACAAUGGGCGCAAGCCUGAUGCAGCCAUGCCGCGUGUAUGAAGAAGGCCUUCGGGUUGUAAAGUACUUUCAGCGGGGAGGAAGGGAGUAAAGUUAAUACCUUUGCUCAUUGACGUUACCCGCAGAAGAAGCACCGGCUAACUCCGUG